Ostrea edulis (European flat oyster) is the source of this 511-nucleotide long non-coding RNA. RefSeq lists it as uncharacterized. Lineage: Eukaryota; Metazoa; Mollusca; Bivalvia; Ostreida; Ostreidae. The record is from RefSeq and is a predicted model, not a curated record. The transcript is spliced from 2 exons.
CCCACGAAGGCAAAUAAAACUGAUGUAACAUGCACCGGUAGUUGCAUAAAAUAUCUAAAGUCGGCACAAUCAUAGGUCAAAACAACUAUGGAGGAAUAUAGUUCGGUGCAUCCUCAGGGCAACAGGCCAUUGUCAGCAACACCUGAAAUUGUUAAUUGAGGUUUAGUGCCCAUUUUCAACUCAAACAAUUACAAUUAAAGAGGCCUGUGCAAAUGUUAGGAUUUCCCUCUUGAAUGUGAUGCAAGGGAUGGCUCGCUGCACCUCAAAACACAGUACGAUUAUCGGAAUCAGAUUCAAGGACAACAGCUGAAAGACACCCAAUGCUGUGGUUUACUAGUGUUGACUCCUAUUGACACUCAAGUAGUUCACAUGGACAAAGAUGUAUUAUGAUCAACAAACAUUUGAAGCGUGAUAGAGUUUAAUUAUGCUAAUAAAGUAUUUUUGUAGUCUUUAUAAUGCUAGUAUAUUUUUUUUCAAUUUCAUUAAUUGAACAAUAAAACAAGCAAUGUUU